This 253-nucleotide ribosomal RNA is filed under the name uncultured bacterium. Its description in RNAcentral is "partial 16S ribosomal RNA". It matches the Rfam family "Bacterial small subunit ribosomal RNA", at positions 524 to 776 of the family's 1533-position model. The record is from RNAcentral.
UACGUAGGGGGCAAGCGUUGUCCGGAAUCAUUGGGCGUAAAGCGCGCGUAGGCGGCCCGGUAAGUCCGUUGUGAAAGUCAAAGGCUCAACCUUUGAACGCCGAUGGAUACUGCCGGGCUAGAGUCCGGAAGAGGCGAGUGGAAUUCCUGGUGUAGCGGUGGAAUGCGCAGAUAUCAGGAGGAACACCUAUGGCGAAGGCAGCACUCUGGGACGGUACUGACGCUGAGACGCGAAAGCGUGGGGAGCGAACAGG